This 653-nucleotide ribosomal RNA is filed under the name uncultured Dolosigranulum sp. Its description in RNAcentral is "bacterial SSU rRNA". It matches the Rfam family "Bacterial small subunit ribosomal RNA", at positions 149 to 790 of the family's 1533-position model. Lineage: Bacteria; Bacillati; Bacillota; Bacilli; Lactobacillales; Carnobacteriaceae. The record is from RNAcentral.
UUCGGAAACGGAUGCUAAUACCCCAUAGGUGGAUUGGUCGCAUGACGAAUUCAUUAAAGGUGGCUUUGCUACCACUCAUGGAUAGCCUCGCGGCGUAUUAGCUAGUUGGUAAGGUAAUGGCUUACCAAGGCAGUGAUACGUAGCCGACUUGAGAGGGUGAUCGGCCACACUGGGACUGAGACACGGCCCAGACUCCUACGGGAGGCAGCAGUAGGGAAUCUUCCACGAUGGGUGCAAACCUGAUGGAGCAAUGCCGCGUGAGUGAAGAAGGUCUUCGGAUCGUAAAGCUCUGUUGUUAGAGAAGAACACGUGCUAGGUAACUACUAGCGCCUUGACGGUAUCUAACCAGAAAGUCACGGCUAACUACGUGCCAGCAGCCGCGGUAAUACGUAGGUGACAAGCGUUGUCCGGAUUUAUUGGGCGUAAAGGGAGCGCAGGCGGUCUGUUUAGUCUAAUGUGAAAGCCCACGGCUUAACCGUGGAACGGCAUUGGAAACUGACAGACUUGAAUGUAGAAGAGGAAAAUGGAAUUCCAAGUGCAGCGGUGGAAUGCGUAGAUAUUUGGAGGAACACCAGUGGCGAANGCGAUUUUCUGGNCUAACAUUGGCGCUGANGCUCGAAAGCGUGGGGAGCGANNAGGAUUAGAUACCCNGG